AACGACUCUCGGCAACGGAUAUCUCGGCUCUCGCAUCGAUGANNNNNNNNGCGAAAUGCGAUACUUGGUGUGAAUUGCAGAAUCCCGUGAACCAUCGAGUCUUUGAACGCAAGUUGCGCCCGAAGCCAUUAGGCCGAGGGCACGUCUGCCUGGGCGUCACGC
Molecule: ribosomal RNA, 162 nt
Filed under: Hyptidendron eximium
Lineage: Eukaryota; Viridiplantae; Streptophyta; Magnoliopsida; Lamiales; Lamiaceae
Description: 5.8S ribosomal RNA
Rfam family: 5.8S ribosomal RNA
About the family: 5.8S ribosomal RNA (5.8S rRNA) is a component of the large subunit of the eukaryotic ribosome. It is transcribed by RNA polymerase I as part of the 45S precursor that also contains 18S and 28S rRNA.
Source: RNAcentral